RNAcentral lists this ribosomal RNA (155 nucleotides) under Streptomyces aidingensis. RNAcentral describes it as "23S rRNA. Bacterial LSU". It matches the Rfam family "Bacterial large subunit ribosomal RNA", at positions 2772 to 2925 of the family's 2925-position model. Lineage: Bacteria; Bacillati; Actinomycetota; Actinomycetes; Kitasatosporales; Streptomycetaceae. The record is from RNAcentral.
UGAAGGCAUCUAAGCGGGAAGCCGGCUUUGAGAUGAGGACUCCUGCCCACGUUGAUGGGGUAAGGCUCCCUGGAGAUGACGGGGUUGAUAGGCCGGGGAUGGAAGCCUUGUGAGGGGUGGAGUCGACCGGUACUAAUAGGCCGAGGGCUUGUCCG